CGGAUUGUAAACUUCUGUUAAGCGGGACGGAAUAACGUGUUAGUAAUAACAGCAAGGUGGAUGACGGUACCGCUAGAGAAAGCACCGGCUAACUUCGUGC
Molecule: ribosomal RNA, 100 nt
Filed under: uncultured bacterium
Lineage: Bacteria
Description: partial 16S ribosomal RNA
Source: RNAcentral